This 207-nucleotide ribosomal RNA is filed under the name uncultured bacterium. RNAcentral's name for it is "partial 16S ribosomal RNA". It matches the Rfam family "Bacterial small subunit ribosomal RNA", at positions 568 to 774 of the family's 1533-position model. The record is from RNAcentral.
CGCGUAGGUGGUUGCGUAAGUAACGUGUGAAAUCCCUCGGCUUACCCGGGGAAUUGCAUGUUAUACUGCGUGGCUUGAGGAUCAGAGGGGAAUGGGGAACUCCAGGUGUAGCGGUGAAAUGCGCAGAUAUCUGGGGGAAGGCCGGCGGCGAAGGCGCCAUUCUGGCUGAUUCCUGACACUGAGGCGCGAAAGCGUGGGGAGCAAACA